Carya illinoinensis is the source of this 638-nucleotide long non-coding RNA. RefSeq lists it as uncharacterized. The record is from RefSeq and is a predicted model, not a curated record. The transcript is spliced from 3 exons. NCBI's taxonomy places the organism in Eukaryota, Viridiplantae, Streptophyta, Magnoliopsida, Fagales, Juglandaceae.
UAUCGCAAUAACAAUCCUCUUACUCUCCCUCUCUGCUCACAAUCCCUUCUCCCUCAAAGUUGAAUAAGGCUCUCUGCAACCCGAAGCUCUCCUUCUCCCUCAACCUUUCGAAUCUCCCGCUCUGCAACCCGAAGCUCCCUUCUCCAUCAACCUAGACGAAUCUCCCUCUCUGUAACCUGAACAAAAUGGUUUUAUUUUAAGGUGAAAAUGACCUAUCGCUUCAUAGUUUCAAUAUUGUGGUGAAGCAGAAGCAAGUUAUUGUGGAGAAGGUUGGUGAGCCAAACCAAGAUGAGAUGGGAGAAGCUUAUAAAGAACUCCAAGUGCAGUAUUUUUCAAAGAAACCACUUGAAGGGAAUAAUUGUGAAGAGAAAUAGGUUACAUGAUACCGGGGUGAAUACGAUGGGAUUCAGGGUCAUAUAAUGUUGUAUAAUGUUUCAUUAGACAGUUUGUUAGUUACUAUAGAUAAGAUGAUAUGCCCACAAGGACAAAAAUGGACCUGGAAUGGUUCCAAUCAAAUGGUUUGGGGGGGACUAGGCAGGUUCAUGAUUGUCACAGCUAAAAUACUAAACCAGCAGUAGAUUAGAACAAAAAAUAUGCCUCUACUUUUAGAACAAAAAAGCUUCACCUAGAAUGCUCCU